This 740-nucleotide ribosomal RNA is filed under the name uncultured Chloroflexota bacterium. Its description in RNAcentral is "bacterial SSU rRNA". It matches the Rfam family "Bacterial small subunit ribosomal RNA", at positions 70 to 818 of the family's 1533-position model. The record is from RNAcentral. Lineage: Bacteria; Bacillati; Chloroflexota.
GAGAGCUUAGCAAUAAGCUUGAAAGUGGCGAACGGGUGAGUAACACGUAGGUAACCUGCCGCGCAGAGGGGGAUAACCACUGGAAACGGUGGCUAAUACCGCAUGGUACUAUCGAGAUGGGAAUCUUGAUGGUUAAAACCUGGUGUAAACCAGAUGCUGCGCGAGGGGUCUGCGUCCGAUUAGUUAGUUGGUGAGGUAACGGCUCACCAAGACGAUGAUCGGUAGCUAGUCUGAGAGGAUGAUUAGCCACACGGGAACUGAGACACGGUCCCGACUCCUACGGGGGGCAGCAGUGAGGAAUAUUGCACAAUGGACGCAAGUCUGAUGCAGCAACGCCGCGUGGAGGAUGACGGUCUUUGGAUUGUAAACUCCUUUUCUCAGGGAAGAGAAUGGACGGUACCUGAGGAAUAAGUCACGGCUAACUACGUGCCAGCAGCCGCGGUAAUACGUAGGUGGCGAGCGUUAUCCGGAAUUACUGGGCGUAAAGCGCACGCAGGCGGUUAGGCAAGUUCGACGUGAAAGCUCCCGGCUUAACUGGGAGAGGUCGUUGAAAACUGCUUAGCUUGAGGCAAUGAGAGGGGUGUAGAAUUCCCGGUGUAGUGGUGGAAUGCGUAGAUAUCGGGGGGAAUACCAGUGGCGAAAGCGGCACCCUAGCGUUGUUCUGACGCUCAUGUGCGAAAGCGUGGGGAGCGAACGGGAUUAGAUACCCCGGUAGUCCACGCCGUAAACGAUGAACACUA